This 109-nucleotide ribosomal RNA is filed under the name Schaalia cardiffensis. RNAcentral's name for it is "partial 16S ribosomal RNA". It matches the Rfam family "Bacterial small subunit ribosomal RNA", at positions 1 to 108 of the family's 1533-position model. The record is from RNAcentral. Lineage: Bacteria; Bacillati; Actinomycetota; Actinomycetes; Actinomycetales; Actinomycetaceae.
UGUUCGGAGAGUUUGAUCCUGGCUCAGGACGAACGCUGGCGGCGUGCUUAACACAUGCAAGUCGAACGAUGAUGCGGUGCUUGCACCGUUGAUUAGUGGCGAACGGGUG